Molecule: ribosomal RNA, 403 nt
Filed under: uncultured bacterium
Lineage: Bacteria
Description: bacterial SSU rRNA
Rfam family: Bacterial small subunit ribosomal RNA
Source: RNAcentral
GAUGAACGCUGGCGGCGUGCCUAAUACAUGCAAGUCGAACGCAUUGUGGUUGAAAUGAUAUGAAGAACUUGUUCAGAUUUGAUUUUCAACAUUGCAAUGAGUGGCGAACGGGUGAGUAACACGUGGGAAACCUACCUCUUAGCAGGGGAUAACAUUUGGAAACAAAUGCUAAUACCGUAUAAUAAUUAAAACCGCAUGGUUUUAGUUUAAAAGAUGGUCUUGCUAUCACUAAGAGAUGGUCCCGCGGUGUAUUAGUUAGUUGGUGAGGUAAUGGCUCACCAAGACAAUGAUACAUAGCCGAGUUGAGAGACUGACCGGCACAAUGGGACUGAGACACGGCCCAUACUCCUACGGGAGGCAGCAGCAGGGAAUCUUCCACAAUGGACGAAAGUACUGAUGGAGC